This 489-nucleotide ribosomal RNA is filed under the name uncultured bacterium. RNAcentral's name for it is "partial 16S ribosomal RNA". It matches the Rfam family "Bacterial small subunit ribosomal RNA", at positions 28 to 507 of the family's 1533-position model. The record is from RNAcentral.
GACGAACGCUGGCGGCGUGCUUAACACAUGUAAGUCGAACGGAAAGGCCCCCAUCUUGGUGGGGGUGCUCGAGUGGCGAACGGGUGAGUAACACGUGGGUGAUCUGCCCUGUACUUCGGGAUAAGCUUGGGAAACUGGGUCUAAUACCGGAUAGGACCAUGGUUUAGUGUCUCAUGGUGGAAAGAUUAUUGUUUUGGUUCAGGAUGAGCUCGCGGCCUAUCAGCUUGUUGGUGGGGUAAUGGCCUACCAAGGCGUCGACGGGUAGCCGGCCUGAGAGGGUGGACGGCCACAUUGGGACUGAGAUACGGCCCAGACUCCUACGGGAGGCAGCAGUGGGGAAUAGUGCACAAUGGGCGGAAGCCUGAUGCAGCGACGCCGCGUGGGGGAUGACGGCCUUCGGGUUGUAAACUCCUUUCGUUAGGGACGAAGCCGCACUUUUUUUGGGUGUGGUGACGGUACCUUUGUUAAGAAGCACCGGCUAACUACGUG